UGGACGCAGGGAACCGUAGUCCAAAAGGUCUGGCCUGGACAGAGAACGGGAAGGGCGCCUCACCAGCAGGAACUGAGUGCUUUCCUUCAGCUCCAACAGGGCCAGCUAUAAAUCCAGAUUCCCAAGCUCCACCCAGUCAGACCCACUUGGACCAGAGUCCAGGAUUUGCACUUGAACACCACCUCAGUGGCUUCUCCAAGGCCCAUCGGAUUCUUGUAGUUCCAUGAGAUUGUAAGCACAGGACUUCAGGCCUUUGCACGGUCAUCCCUGCUGUCUGAAAGGAUUCCCAGAUAUCUGCAUGGCUAUUCACCCCUCUGCCUUUAAGCCUUCACUCAGAUGUUGCCUAGCCUGACUACUGUAUUUAACAUAGACACUUAAGGACUAUUUCUCCCACCCAAAUACACACUCUCCAUUCCCUUGGCCUGCUCAAGUGAGGAUCUUGGCUUUGUUUUCUGA
Cebus imitator (Panamanian white-faced capuchin) is the source of this 456-nucleotide long non-coding RNA. RefSeq lists it as uncharacterized. Lineage: Eukaryota; Metazoa; Chordata; Mammalia; Primates; Cebidae. The record is from RefSeq and is a predicted model, not a curated record. The transcript has 3 exons.